This 330-nucleotide unclassified non-coding RNA is filed under the name soil metagenome. RNAcentral describes it as "partial contains 5.8S ribosomal RNA, internal transcribed spacer 2, and large subunit ribosomal RNA". The stretch from base 1 to 120 matches the Rfam family "5.8S ribosomal RNA", at positions 35 to 154 of the family's 154-position model. The record is from RNAcentral.
GAUGAAGAACGCAGCGAAAUGCGAUAAGUAAUGUGAAUUGCAGAAUUCAGUGAAUCAUCGAAUCUUUGAACGCACAUUGCGCCCCCUGGUAUUCCGGGGGGCAUGCCUGUUCGAGCGUCAUUUCACCACUCAAGCCUCGCUUGGUAUUGGGCAACGCGGUCCGCCGCGUGCCUCAAAUCGACCGGCUGGGUCUUCUGUCCCCUAAGCGUUGUGGAAACUAUUCGCUAAAGGGUGUUCGGGAGGCUACGCCGUAAAACAACCCCAUUUCUAAGGUUGACCUCGAUCAGGUAGGGAUACCCGCUGAACUUAAGCAUAUCAAUAAGCGGAGGA